AUCCUACGGGGGGCAGCAGUGAGGGAUAUUGGUCAAUGGGGGAAACCCUGAACCAGCAACGCCGCGUGAGGGAAGACGGUUUUCGGAUUGUAAACCUCUGUCCUCUGUGAAGAUAAUGACGGUAGCAGAGGAGGAAGCUCCGGCUAACUACGUGCCAGCAGCCGCGGUAAUACGUAGGGAGCGAGCGUUGUCCGGAUUUACUGGGUGUAAAGGGUGCGUAGGCGGCCUGCUAAGUCUGGAGUGAAAGGUACCGGCUCAACCGGUACAGGCUCUGGAAACUGGCGGGCUAGAGAGCAGG
Molecule: ribosomal RNA, 298 nt
Filed under: uncultured bacterium
Lineage: Bacteria
Description: partial 16S ribosomal RNA
Rfam family: Bacterial small subunit ribosomal RNA
Source: RNAcentral